This 75-nucleotide transfer RNA is filed under the name Candidatus Woesearchaeota archaeon. RNAcentral describes it as "tRNA-Val". It matches the Rfam family "tRNA". From Rfam's summary of the family: Transfer RNA (tRNA) molecules are approximately 80 nucleotides in length. The record is from RNAcentral. Lineage: Archaea; Nanobdellati; Candidatus Woesearchaeota.
GGUCCGAUGGUCUAGCCUGGUUAUGACGUCCCCUUGACGUGGGGAAGAUCCCAAGUUCGAAUCUUGGUCGGGCCA